AUGUGGCCUGCACCAGUGCUUCUGCUCGUCCAGUCGGCUCUGCUGAUUCAAGGAUCUUCCGCCCAGGAUUUGUUGACCCAGACGGACAAAAUCAAGUAUGUCAGUCUUGGUGGGACGGUGACCAUCAGCGCCAAAGGGAGUUCAAAUAUUGAUUAUGAUCUCAGUUGGUACCAAGUGAAACCUGGACAGGUUCCUAAACUUCUGAUCUAUCAGGCAUCAAGUCGCUUUACUGGAACACCAUCUCGAUUCAGUGGCACACGAUCUGGCUCUGACUACACUCUGACUAUCAGUGGUGUUCAGGCAGAAGAUGUCGCUGAUUACUACUCUUUUGCCCGUUUUGGAUCUGGAAGCAUUGGGGAGGAGGGACAGAUACGGCUGAAGAUGUGCGAGGACAAGUUUUUCCAUGACCUCGGACAGAAAAGAGAGAUGUGA
This is a non-coding RNA of Entelurus aequoreus (snake pipefish), 432 nucleotides long. The record is from the annotation of a RefSeq genome assembly. Lineage: Eukaryota; Metazoa; Chordata; Actinopteri; Syngnathiformes; Syngnathidae.